This 2933-nucleotide long non-coding RNA is filed under the name Homo sapiens (human). Its description in RNAcentral is "non-protein coding LINC00472:51". Lineage: Eukaryota; Metazoa; Chordata; Mammalia; Primates; Hominidae. The record is from RNAcentral.
GCAAGCAGGGUAAUUUUCCACACCUUCAGACAAAUACAGUGGAGAUACAAAGUUUGCAAUGUUCUUAUUUGGCCCCCACACACUGCACUCUGGCAGUGAGAGAGGUCAGGCUUUCAGGAGGUUAUUUCUGAACCUAGACAAGCAUCCCACAGUGUGUGUGCACUGCUUACCCUCAGUGAAAAGUGGUUCUCAUUUUUAGUGCCGUAAAUCCUAUGAUCAUCCCCUCCCUUUUCUAACCAAAGCUGGUUCUGGAAGGUGGGCACUACCCCACAGUGUUGAUUUGGCUAGUCCUGCUUCCACUGUAGCCAAAGUCACUGAGAAAGUACUUGAUUAUCUUUAGGAGUAGAACAGCCAGGGUAAGCCAGUGGAAAAAUGUUACAGAAUGACAAGUAAGUGCUUGCUAAAAUAUUUUUGGUGCUCACUUCAGGUUGACUCAGCAGGUCAGAGAAAUGCGAAUCCAGAAGUUAGGAGUGACCUUGGCUAAGUCACUUUAUCUCUCCAGCCAUUGAAAGCUUGGAUUAAAUCAUAGGCUUUAGAGCUAGGUUCCAUGGAGCUUUGGAGUUCUGUUAUACCUGUCACAGGAUAGGGACCAUUGAUAAAAGAGACUCUUAGCAGAUGAGAAUCUGGACAUCUGGGCUCGGAGAAGCUUUGAUUUUACCUGUUUUUAUACACUGAUUUAAGGGAACCCACACAAUUAUACAAAAAUAAAUGAAACGGUCUCCCUAUAAUUGCAUGGCCAAAGACCAGGGACACCAUGCCAACAGGGUCACAUGGAGCCUGUGCUCAGGAACAGAGUGGAUGACAAGGAUUGUGGGAGGCGAGAUACAGGGGUUAGAGCACAAAUUGUGCAGUGCCCCUUAGCAUUUGAUUUUUACUGAAAGAUGGGAACCCAGAAAAGGGAUGUGGGUAAAAGAAUGGCCUGCUAUUUGACCAACUUUUCUUUUCAUCUCUCGAAGAGCCUAGCAAAGUACUGAGCACAUAAAGGCUGCUGAAUAUAUUGUGACUGGUUAAUUGCAAAGGGAGCAACACCUUUCUUCACUGCUUUCCACAACUUUUUACCUUAAUCACAAUUAGAUGCAGGUUUAUUUCUACCUAAAAAUAUACUUACUGCAGAGAUAUGGACACUAAGAAAGUUCAGUUUAUACAUAGUCAAGGUGUGAGCCAAAACCCAUUUCUUUACUGAUGAGACCUGGAUCUCUCAUUAAAAUAUCACAGGUAUAAUAGAAACUAGCACACUUACAUACAGUGAAGGAUACAGCCCAUGCAAAUUCUAGAAUUUUCUACAGACCUCUACCAUAGGACAAGGGACAUUUGAAAUUUAAUAUAUUAGACACAUUUCACCUAGCUUUUAUUCUUCAUAAUUUUUUUAAUUUUUAAUUUUAAUUUUUAUAAGUUCAUAGUAGGCGUAUACAUUUAUGGGGUACAUGAGAUGUUUUGAUACAGACUUGCAAUGCAUAAUAAUUAUCACAUCCUUCAUAAAUUUUAUUUACAUAGUGGAAAUAUGUUUCAAGCUGUGGAGCAUUUAUAAAUUUAUACUGGGAUAGCAUCUUAAAAAUUUUCCCUUCUAUGAAUAAGUUCACAUGGAAAAACAGUAUAUGUUAUAAAUUCUGAAAUCAGCAACUUGACUCUAUAUUGUGCAGUUUGACAGACAGGACUCAUAAUUUAGUUCAGUCAUGGCUUUUCUGAGUAAAUAUAGAUCUAUCACUGACAUAAUUAGCCAAUCUUCAUUUUCUCCCACCUUGGUCAUAGAUUUGAUUUUUUAUCAUUAGCAUUUAGAGAGAGUAGCAUGUAUAAUACAAUAAAGAGUGGGAUAUGGGACGGAAAAAUAGGAGGAAUCCCUUCACCUGCUGCAGGAAUGUGUCAUUCUGAACCCUAAAGCUGAUUCUAUUUGGUUUUAACAAGGUAUCAUCUCCAAAUCCUAUCAUGUUAUAUUAUGUUAGAAACAUUAAGUUACAAUGGGAGAGUCCCAGUAAGUGGAGAAAGUUGAAGGUUGUCCGAUAAAAUUAGGCAAGGGUUCACAUGCAUGCUUUGUCACACACUUCACUUGCAGACACAUCUGAAAAUGCACCCCCAACACCCCUAACAUUGUCUUCCUGGAAAGCACCAUUUAUUAACAGGACUCAAACAUGAACUACUCAAUAAAGAUCUUUCUUCCUCUGUUCCUCCCUCCCAGAACUGACAAUGCAUUCAUUGUACCCUAUAAACAAUUUCGUUACUGAUAAUAUGUACCUCUAAGUCUGUUUCUCCUAUUGGACUGGAAGCAAUUUAAAGAUAGUGAUUCACUUUUAUUAUCUUUUUAUCCUGAACUCCCAGCACAAUGCCUGGCACAUGUAGGACUGAAGAAAUAUUGUUAAUUAUUUAAUUUUAUCACACUCACUAGAUCCAACAUGAUAACAUGAGAGAAGGAAAUUCUACUUCAGCUCCAUAAUUUGAGAAAGGUCAUUCUUCUUUCUUAGAGGCAGCACCAUUACAUAACAGAGUCACCACUAGUGGCAGUAGAGUUUGGUGUAUAAGAAGAAAUGGGCUGGGCACAGUGGUUCAUGCCUGUAAUGCCAGCACUUUGGGAGGCUGAGGCAGGCAGAUCACUUGAUGUCAGGAGUUCAAGACCAGCCUGGCCUACAUGGCAAAACCCUGUCACUACUAAAAAUACAAAACUUAGUCAGGCGUGGUGGUAUGCGCCUGUAAUCAUGGCUGUUCAGGUGACUGAGGCAGGAGAAUCAUUUGAACCUGAGAGGCAGAGGGUGCAGUGAACUGAGAUCGCGCCACUGCACUCCAGCCUGGGAGACAGAGUGAGACUCCAUCUCAAAAAAUAAAAAUGAAGAAGAAGAAAGGGAUCACUAGCCUUUAAAUAAUUCUGUUUCAGCAUUAUGAUAUAAGUUUUUUAUUUAAUGAAGUUAUUUUCAUCUUCUCUUCAGCAGUAGCAUCACUUAAAA